GUAUAUAUAUAUAUAUAUAUAGUAUCAUUAGUAGGAUAAAGUAAUUUAAGCGAUUAGAUUUUCAGUCAUUUAAUAAAAAAAUGUGUGGUUAAUUAGAAUGAUUGUGAUUCUUUUAGGUGGCACAAAGAGAAAUUUUUUUUUCUCUUAGGGCAUGUUUGGUAACUCGAAAGUCGGCGAAGUGAAAAAAGUCACUUUCAUUAAAGUGACUUUUCAGCUCGAUUAUUUUGUUGCUAUAAAGUAAAAAAUUAAAACUAUAAUUUUAUUUUUUUUUUAUUAUUGAAUUAUAUAUAAAGAGGUAAAAAUGUAAACAAACGACUUAUACUUGCAAUUUAAAUU
This 336-nucleotide long non-coding RNA is filed under the name Ananas comosus (pineapple). RNAcentral describes it as "long non-coding RNA (ACOM_LNC004475)". The record is from RNAcentral. Lineage: Eukaryota; Viridiplantae; Streptophyta; Magnoliopsida; Poales; Bromeliaceae.